UCCAUUUCAGUUCUUCAUGCAUCUUUAGCU
RNAcentral lists this non-coding RNA (30 nucleotides) under Mus musculus (house mouse). Lineage: Eukaryota; Metazoa; Chordata; Mammalia; Rodentia; Muridae. The record is from RNAcentral.